RNAcentral lists this ribosomal RNA (216 nucleotides) under uncultured bacterium. RNAcentral's name for it is "partial 16S ribosomal RNA". It matches the Rfam family "Bacterial small subunit ribosomal RNA", at positions 115 to 334 of the family's 1533-position model. The record is from RNAcentral.
GUAUGGGGAUCUGCCCGAUAGAGGGGGAUAACUACUGGAAACGGUGGCUAAUACCGCAUAAUGUCUACGGACCAAAGCAGGGGCUCUUCGGACCUUGCACUAUCGGAUGAACCCAUAUGGGAUUAGCUAGUAGGUGGGGUAAAGGCUCACCUAGGCGACGAUCUCUAGCUGGUCUGAGAGGAUGAUCAGCCACACUGGGACUGAGACACAGCCCAG